Molecule: ribosomal RNA, 495 nt
Filed under: uncultured bacterium
Lineage: Bacteria
Description: partial 16S ribosomal RNA
Rfam family: Bacterial small subunit ribosomal RNA
Source: RNAcentral
GACGAACGCUGGCGGCGUGCCUAAUACAUGCAAGUAGAACGCUGAAGGAGGAGCUUGCUUCUCUGGAUGAGUUGCGAACGGGUGAGUAACGCGUAGGUAACCUGCCUGGUAGCGGGGGAUAACUAUUGGAAACGAUAGCUAAUACCGCAUAAGAGUAGAUGUCGCAUGACAUUUGCUUAAAGGGUGCAAUUGCAUCACUACCAGAUGGACCUGCGUUGUAUUAGCUAGUUGGUGAGGUAACGGCUCACCAAGGCAACGAUACAUAGCCGACCUGAGAGGGUGAUCGGCCACACUGGGACUGAGACACGGCCCAGACUCCUACGGGAGGCAGCAGUAGGGAAUCUUCGGCAAUGGACGGAAGUCUGACCGAGCAACGCCGCGUGAGUGAAGAAGGGUUUCGGAUCGUAAAGCUCUGUUGUAAGAGAAGAACGAGUGUGAGAGUGGAAAGUUCACACUGUGACGGUAUCUUACCAGAAAGGGACGGCUAACUACGUG